AAAUUGAAGAGUUUGAUCAUGGCUCAGAUUGAACGCUGGCGGCAGGCCUAACACAUGCAAGUCGAACGGUAGCACAGAGAGCUUGCUCUCGGGUGACGAGUGGCGGACGGGUGAGUAAUGUCUGGGAAACUGCCUGAUGGAGGGGGAUAACUACUGGAAACGGUGGCUAAUACCGCAUAACGUCGCAAGACCAAAGAGGGGGACCUUCGGGCCUCUUGCCAUCAGAUGUGCCCAGAUGGGAUUAGCUUGUUGGUGAGGUAACGGCUCACC
RNAcentral lists this ribosomal RNA (270 nucleotides) under Salmonella enterica subsp. enterica serovar Infantis. Its description in RNAcentral is "partial 16S ribosomal RNA". It matches the Rfam family "Bacterial small subunit ribosomal RNA", at positions 1 to 269 of the family's 1533-position model. Lineage: Bacteria; Pseudomonadati; Pseudomonadota; Gammaproteobacteria; Enterobacterales; Enterobacteriaceae. The record is from RNAcentral.